UUUAAAUUUGUCCAUAUUUAAAACUAAAAGACUACCCCGUAAUUAUGAGAGUCUCACAGGAUCUCGUGCAAAACCUAACAUUCAUCGUUAAGCUCGCGCUGGUUCUGGGUAAAGAUUUGGAGAGGAGAUCGGCGCGGGGAGGGGACGUAUACCAUAUAUAAGGGACAAACGAAGUAGACUUUCCAAUUUCUGAUCAAUGUAGCCAGCACCGGCAGCGUCUACAUCGGUCACAUUCUACGAUUUAAUGAUCGAAUGCGAAACCCGGCUUCCCUUGAUCUCGGUCAGAUCCAUCACAAUUUAUUCAUCGUUUUACGCGGCAAAUCCUGAGAAUGAUGGCAAAAGACUGCAAGACAUCUUCUUGAUAAUGGGAUUUGCUAUCAGGGAACAUCCUUUAUGUAGACGGGUGCUACUGAAGAAGAAGUUGACCGUGCAAUGGAGGGGAUGCAUAGUUUGAUCUUGAAAUCCUGGACAAAACAUGCUUGUUGCAAAUUAUCAAGUGUAUUCAUAACACUGUCACUUGUACAUUUUACCAUGUGCCUAUUCAGAUGAUAUACUCAGUCUGUUAUUAAGUUCUAACUAAUUGAUGAGCUGGAGAAGUUUAUAAUAUUUCUCGACUACAUGGCCCAUGAGUCCACAAUGCUUACAAACUGGUCGUUCCUUCUUGGACAAAGGCUUGGUAGAGCGUGGAUUAUCAGAAUUAGCAGCAAAAGCAUGUGCUUCAGAGGAGGGGAUAGUGCCAUCUGAGAUUUCACGCUGUUACUUUUCUUGCAAUGUAAGUGAUAAAACCUUGUUAAGAGCAGGUGAAGGCUCCAUUAACAGGAUCUAGGCCCUUGCAAUGGAAAAAGACUCAUCGAGUCCCAUUAGGAAUUGACGAAUAUGCUCUUGUUGGACAUAAGCAUUAAGAGUAUGGACUGCUCCGCAAGAACAAGCUGGAACCGGCUUGUAAUUAGUCAACUCAUCCCAAAGAGCUUUCAGGUUAGUGAAAUAGGCUUUUGAAGUUGAAAAAUGUGCGAACCAUCUUCUGAGAGACACUCCUUUAGAUUGGUCCAGAUCUCGUAGGUAGUGUUUAUGUAGACAAUACUAGCAAAAAUUUCACUCGAAAAGGAAUUGAAAAUCCAAGAAAUCACCAUAUUAUUGCAGCGCAUCCAAGAAGAGAGAAGCAGGUCAUUAGGAUUUGCUGGCUUGAGAAUCGUUCUGUUGAUGAACCCUAGCUUGUUCUCGGCAGACAGCGCCAUGGUCAUAGAUCUUGCCCAGGUGAUAGUUGUCUCCGAUUGAAGUUGUGUGACUAGAACACCACUAGGAUUAUCGCUCAGUUGGAGAAAGAAAUGACUGGCAGCAAACAGCUGACAUGGAAGUGUACUUGCAGACUUCAAAGAGAAAUCUGAUACCAAACAAAGAAUGGAAAAAUUAGAAACUUGUUAUUGUAAAAUAAUUGAAUCCCCAUCUACAAACGAGGCAAUCAAGACUCAAGAGAUUUUCACACGGGACAAACCUUAGGAAACGAACGGAUGUGUUGAUUAGGGAUGUACAAUGGUUCCCCCAUAUUCCCAUUUUAGCAAUCCUAAAGCAAAUCCCUAAUUUAGAGAUCCGGAUGGGAGGAAGUUUUUGAAGUUUUCCCAAAAUUUUUCCUCAAAAUAUAUAGUAAGAGACAACAAGCAUUUAGUAAAGCGGAUGAGAAUGCUCUUAGCACAGCCAGGAGGUAUAAAUAAAAAAACUAGUCAUAGGAAAGGUAAGUGUCCCCUUUGUGCAAUUUCUAAGAUUUUAGCUUCUUAGUUGUUUGUAUUCAAAGACAAUAUUGGUUUAAAGUUCAUCUAGGCCUCGUUUGGAUAGUAAUAUGAAAUUAAGUUAUCUGUAAAUAGUAUUGAAAUAAUCUAAAUUAAGAUAUUUUAUAAGGUUUUAAAAAAUGAGGGAAAAAAUUAAAUAAAAAUAUUAUAAAAUUGAAAUAUCAUUAUAAUAUUAUUUUUAUUUUAAAAUUUGAAAAAUUUUAAUUAGUUUUUUUGUGUUGUUUAAAAAUUUAGAAAAAUUUAUAAUCUGUUUGCAAUAUUUAGAUAUUGAGAUGAUAUAAUAUAAGAUGAAAGAAUUUUGCAAUCCAAAUGUGGCCUUACUUGCAUCUAUGAACAGGCUUGCAAAAAUUUUGCUUCUUUUAAAGCUUUUAUAAAUUGGGCAAAACUGUUGAACAGCAUGUAGUCGAAAAUAGAAACUGUACAUAUACAAGAUGAACCACUACACUGUCAACCUACACUAAAUGGCAAAGUUAUGGAGGCAAUGCCAGGGCCAUCUGCCACAACUUCCUCCUUACAAGAUGUACUGGGUAACAAAUCCCCAUUAGUUUCACAACAAAAAUUAGUGACCUCUCUAUAUUCCUUGCUGUAUAAUUUUAAGCAACUCAUGCAAACAAACUUUGUCGGGAUUGCAUCUGAGUUGUCAAUUCCAGCACACCUAGUGUGCUGCCAAACACCACAAGUAUCACAAGCCAGCAUUCUCUCCCCAUCAUCGUCCUUAGCCCCACAUGUGCAAUCAACCGUCCAUUUCUCCAUUCCCCUCUCCAUCCGGAAGCGGUGCAGCCCGUGUUUAGCACGGCAUCUUCCUUGAAUUCGAAUUGAUGCACUCAAUCCAACCAAGAAUCUCAAAGUAAUUGAAUCCUCUAUAAAGCCAAACUCGGGUAGUUUCUCAGACUGAAACCUUCUAAACAUGGCAUACACUUCUUGAAAAGCUUUAGUAGUUUCACUUUUAAGGUCUGCAACAGUUGCAUUCAAGGGCAAGACCACUAGCUCUGGAGGUAGUGCUAGGUCAUCUUUAGGCCGAUCAGAGAGCUCAACAUGACACCAGAGCUGUAUGGCAGAAGGGUUCUCGGCUGCAAUUCUAUCAGGCUCAUAGUCCUUCAUAAAUUGCUUGCAGUCAAGAAGCUUAGUUGCAGAGUCAAAGAGACGUUCCCACAUUGCUUGGGGUUUAAAGUUCACCAUGGUAUCUGGGUGUAGAAUUGAUUCAUAUAAAGAUUUCAGAUCACAAACAAUUUGCUCCUCUGAUGGAUGGUUCAAAUUCAAAUGAAAUCCAUUGUGCACAAGACUAGAAGGCUCAAGCCUGUUUGUCAAAUCCAGGUCAGAACACAAUUUAAUGCAUGAAUGGAAAUAUUGAAGCAACUCAAACCAAAGAAUCUUUGCCCUCUUUACCUGAACUCCACCGCACUGGAAAUGGGAUUGUAAUGAGACACAACCACCAUGCCAUUGGCUGCCAGCUUCCCUCCCAAGUGCUUAAGGCAAUAAUCAAGAAGCCCGGGAGAUGCCGACUUGCACAUUGCGCCCUUAAGAGCACGUCUUGUCACCCAGUUGGCCUCACCAGCUGCUGCAAGUAGCACCUUAAUAAUAGCUUCUUGCACACGUACAACAUCAUUACUUGUCCAUGCCCCCAACACAUUUGAGGUGCUGAACUCAGGCUUCUCAGAUGUACCUGGCUUCAGUUGCUUGCGAACUUUAUGGAUCAAACUCAGCAAAAAAGAGAAAAGAUCCUUGACUGUUCGUAGUGGGGUGUCCGAUAGGGACUGGUAGAAAGCAAUAAUGGCCUGCAGAUGAGUUCGAGCUCCCCUCCCCUGGAACAAAAACGAGGACAAGGGCAUGCCCGAUAUUGUAUCUACAGCUUUCUGGCCAAGGAAAAGUUUUGCAUGUUUAUAGCAGCCAACCAAGGGUUGAAACAAAUGCAAGAGCAUUACGUCCCAGACUAAUUUGCCAAUAAUACAAAAGUUAAAAGUGCCCCGCUGCCCAUAAUAAAGACAGUCCUUGUCUCUGUCUUAGAGUACACCCUCGCCACAUUGUGUGGAAAUUUUUAUGAUGAAGUAUUGGUGGUGGUGUUGGCAAUGAAUCCAACACGUAGAGCGCAUUCCAGAAAAUUGGGCGCAAUGGGCAAUGAAUCCAAAACCAAGAGAAAGUAUUAGACAUGAAAUAGAAAUAGAAUGCCACCUGACGCCAAGUGACGUACAGAGCCUGUCCCAGAAGUCCAUAAUGUCACGCCCGGCUAGGAACUUGGAGCCUCCUUCUUUGCCAUUAAGUGUAAGAAGGUGGGCAUAGCCAUUGGAGUGAACAACACCAUGCAGAAGAUGAGUAAGAUCUUCAAGUUGACGAUGCACCCAGUCUUCAGAAUCAUCAUCCACUGUAAUCGCAGAGCUCCAACAUUGACAUAUACUCUUUGAUUCAGAGAGCUGGUUUCCGCAUCUCGAACACGACCUUUGGUAACCAUCCAUCGCAAGCCCACUCUCUUCCCUUCUUACUAUGAAAUGGUAUCGCUUUCGGCACACUGGAUGCCCACUCCAUCCUUUGGAAAAAGCAAUCCAGUAGAACAUAAUUUUAACUCGAAUUAAAAACAAAAUACUAAAUAAUAAUUAAAUAGUUACUGUUACGUUAUCCUCUCGAUAUAUAUAUUUAAUAUUUUGAAGAAUCUCAUGCGAGUCGACUCACCAACGACGCGGCACUGGUCACAGUAGACAGAUCUCCGAGUAGAUCCGGUCACGUCCUCCUCCACCACGUAGAGGACCACGACAACCGGAUCCGGACAGUCGGUUACUCGAAGCAGGACCUGCCACGUCAGCAGGCAUGGUAGCACCGACGGCGUGAGCACGAGCCGCGCGUGCUUCUCCAGAAACACCCGGACGCUGUCCCUGAAGGGCUGCUGGUGGUUGUGGACUCCGACGGUCGACUCCGACUCCUCCGUGGCCGGGAAACUGAAAAAGUCAUUCAGAUCGGCGAAUAUCCUUCUCUUCAUCCUCUUCAACGGCCUUUCGUUCACAACCAUCGCUUGGCGGCUCGCCCGCUUGUUCGCUGUUAACCUACGGACGACGAGAUGGAAGGAGAGUCAACAAAAGGGUCUUCCAAAGCGAGUAAUCAGGAACGUAGAUUGUAGAGUGGGUUCCUUUAUCGAGGGUUCAAUGGCGGUUUGGGACUGUCUGCACUUAUAUUCUGCUUCUUCUUUUUUUUCUCCUUUUUCUUUUUUAAUUAUAAUUUCUUUGUUAAUAAGAGUUACUCAGUGCCACUAUUUUUAUUACCGUUGCCCAGCUUGAGACCACCUCUUUU
This is a long non-coding RNA of Carya illinoinensis, 5060 nucleotides long. RefSeq lists it as uncharacterized. Lineage: Eukaryota; Viridiplantae; Streptophyta; Magnoliopsida; Fagales; Juglandaceae. The record is from RefSeq and is a predicted model, not a curated record. The transcript has 6 exons.